UGCGUAGGCGGGUCUUUAAGUCAGGGGUGAAAUCCUGGAGCUCAACUCCAGAACUGCCUUUGAUACUGAAGAUCUUGAGUCCGGGAGAGGUGAGUGGAACUGCGAGUGUAGAGGUGAAAUUCGUAGAUAUUCGCAAGAACACCAGUGGCGAAGGCGGCUCACUGGCCCGGUACUGACGCUGAGGCACGAAAGCGUGGGAGCAAACA
This 206-nucleotide ribosomal RNA is filed under the name uncultured bacterium. Its description in RNAcentral is "partial 16S ribosomal RNA". It matches the Rfam family "Bacterial small subunit ribosomal RNA", at positions 568 to 774 of the family's 1533-position model. The record is from RNAcentral.